Molecule: non-coding RNA, 66 nt
Organism: Podarcis lilfordi (Lilford's wall lizard)
Lineage: Eukaryota; Metazoa; Chordata; Lepidosauria; Squamata; Lacertidae
Source: the annotation of a GenBank genome assembly
GUAGCUCAGUGGCAGAGCACCUGCCUUGCAUGAGGAAGGUUCCAGGUUCAAUCCCUGCCAUCACCA